UCUCUUUUUUUGCCUCUGGAUUGACUGUAUAAUGGGUAGGUUUUAUAGGAGUAAUCUUAACGCAUGAUGGGGCAAAAAUUAUAGAAUUCUGGGUUCCUCACAGUUUGUGGAGCUACAAACAGCCCCAGGCUAUCGAUCUGCAGCCCCAGGCUAUCCAUCUGCAGACGUUUUCAAUGAAAGAAUAAAAUGUUUUAAGCCGGAGAGGAGGGGCAAAACGGCGGAAGAGUGGGGUCCCCGAGUCACCUGUCCCCACCAAAUUACCUAGAUAACCUUCAACUCAUCCUGAAAAUCUACGAAUUCGGCCUGAGAUUUAAAGAGAGAACAGCUGGAAUGCUACAGUGAGAAGAGUUCGCGCUUCCAUCAGAUAAAAAAGAUUAAAUAACCUGUUCGAGGUUCCAUGUCUGCUGAGUGGUGGAGCCAGGCUUCCGAUCCAGAAUUCUAUAUCCUCCCAAGAACAAUGGGAUGCAUUAAAGGAUUUUAAAAAGAGGAGAGACAUCAUCCAUUCUGUCUGUAGGAAAUUGCUCUAUCCAGAAUGUGAAGAAGGAAUCUGGUAAGAGCAGGUUCUGUCUCCGUGGUGGAACCCUGACUGAUACAGACACAUCGUGAGAAAGAAUAGGGACACACUGGAACCCACAAGGACAAAGGAGAGCCUGUCUUAAUCUCUAACCACCUCCACCUCCACCUCCAAACCUCCACUCUGAUGCUGCUGCUGACCUCCACCCUGAUGCUGGUGCGUAGGAAAAGCUGGCACCCUCUGUUGUGGAGCUAGCAUGCACUUCGUUCAGGAGCUAGAGAAGCAGCAGGAUCUAGCCGGAACUGCUACAGACCUAGUUGCUUUGUCAUGCUGACAAGGGUUGGUGUGGGAUUGGACACGGAGCCGGGGUGCGUGGAUAUGCUGACAGACGCCCUGGCGACCCCCAGUUAAGGAGGAAUUGGAGGGCAGAGGAUGCAUCUGGGAACAAAAGGUCCCAGCACGACAGACUGCCCCGCGGUCCCCGCGUCUCGGAACCCUCCCCGCAGCGCUCCCCACCUCUCUUUUCAUUUGAAACGUGGCAGUGGCACGUGCGAAGGCCGGACCGAACGGCAGCCCCGAAAGCCGAGGGCCAGCGACGCCCGAGCCGUCCGAGAAGGCGGGAGACUCCGGGCCGGAG
This is a long non-coding RNA of Canis lupus familiaris (dog), 1151 nucleotides long. RefSeq lists it as uncharacterized. Lineage: Eukaryota; Metazoa; Chordata; Mammalia; Carnivora; Canidae. The transcript has 5 exons. The record is from RefSeq and is a predicted model, not a curated record.